RNAcentral lists this ribosomal RNA (836 nucleotides) under uncultured soil bacterium. RNAcentral describes it as "SSU rRNA". It matches the Rfam family "Bacterial small subunit ribosomal RNA", at positions 665 to 1502 of the family's 1533-position model. The record is from RNAcentral.
ACUCCCAGGUGUAGCAGUGAAUGGGUAGGGAUCUGGAGGAACACGGAUGGCGAAGGCAGCCCCCUGGGCCAGCACUGACGCUGAUACACGAAAGCGUGGGGAGCAAACAGUAUUAGAUACCCUUGUAGUCCACGCCCUAAACGAUGGCAACUAGUUGUUGGAGGAUGAACUCCUUUAGUAACGCAGCUAACGCGUGAAGUUGCCCGCCUGGGGAGUACGGUCGCAAGAUUAAAACUCAAAGGAAUUGACGAGGGCCCGCACAAGCGGUGGAUGAUGUGGUUCAAUUCGAUGCAACGCGAAAAACCUUACCUACCCUUGACAUGCCAGGAAGCCUGAUGAAAGUUGGGUGUGCCCGAAAGGGAACCUGGACACAGGUGCUGCAUGGCUGUCGUCAGCUCGUGUCGUGAGAUGUUGGGUUAAGUCCCGCAACGAGCGCAACCCUUGUCAUUAGUUGCUACAUUUAGUUGGGCACUCUAAUGAGACUGCCGGUGACAAACCGGAGGAAGGUGGGGACGACGUCAAGUCCUCAUGGCCCUUAUGGGUAGGGCCACACACGUCAUACAAUGGCGCAUACAGAGGGAAGCCAACCCGCGAGGGGGAGCAAAUCCCAGAAAGUGCGUCGUAGUCCGGAUUGAAGUCUGCAACUCGACUUCAUGAAGUCGGAAUCGCUAGUAAUCGCGGAUCAGCAUGUCGCGGUGAAUACGUUCCCGGGCCUUGUACACACCGCCCGUCACACCAUGGGAGUGGGUUUCACCAGAAGCAGGUAGCCUAACCGCAAGGAGGGCGCCUACCACGGUGGGAUUCAUGACUGGGGUGAAGUCGUAACAAGGUAACCA